RNAcentral lists this ribosomal RNA (254 nucleotides) under uncultured bacterium. RNAcentral describes it as "partial 16S ribosomal RNA". It matches the Rfam family "Bacterial small subunit ribosomal RNA", at positions 524 to 776 of the family's 1533-position model. The record is from RNAcentral.
UACGUAGGGGGCAAGCGUUGUCCGGAUUUAUUGGGCGUAAAGCGCGUGUAGGCGGCUAGACAGGUCCGCUGUGAAAACUCGAGGCUCAACCUCGAGAUGUCGGUGGAAACCGUUUGGCUAGAGUCCGGAAGAGGAGAGUGGAAUUCCUGGAUGUAGCGGUGAAAUGCGCAGAUAUCAGGAAGAACACCCGUGGCUAAGGCGGCUCUCUAGUACGGUACUGACGCUGAGACGCGAAAGCGUGGGGAGCGAACAGG